Molecule: long non-coding RNA, 1249 nt
Organism: Sciurus carolinensis (gray squirrel)
Lineage: Eukaryota; Metazoa; Chordata; Mammalia; Rodentia; Sciuridae
Exons: 3
Source: RefSeq, a predicted model, not a curated record
AUUUCCUGGUACAAGUGCUGCCUUUCGUCGAUGGAAAAGAUGCUACUGAUUUUAGUUUGAUUUUUCGCGAGCUGACUCAUCCACACCCUCUCACCCAGUUCCUUCAAAACACAUGUUUUGGAGGUGCUACUGAGGAGGCAUGUUGGUACCUGGACUUCUGGAAUGUGGCUUUGCAUGGAGACUGGAUUUGCAAAUGGCUGGUUGCGGUGCAUCUGGAACACAGACUCUCCUGGAGCAAAUGUAGUGCCCCAUGGAUUUAGAUGAGAGCUGAGGAGAGGAGCCUACGUGGGAAACAACUCAAGUUGGAAGAUUACUUGGUGAAUAUUGAAGACCUUGGACGAACUGAGCUAGAAAUGCCCCAAAUUCACGUCUGAAGCCAGCUGCCCUGUCUGGUGGUCAUGACCACUAAGCUAAAUUCGUUCCAGAUUCUCCAAACUCCAUUUUUCAAGACCGUGAGCCUCUCUUUGUCAGUUCUGGUUGUAUCAAGAGUUCUGAGUAGGUGCAAACAACGUUGGUUUAACUUGGCUGCGAUUGAGCAAAGAAAGCACCCCAAGAAGGCUGUAGUCUCUUGUGUGAUGUUACAUCAUGAGUAGGGCUAGGCCAGCUCUGUGGGGUGUUUCAUUUGCAGGUUCUCCCACGGCUCCUCUGGGCCCCAACUGUACCGUCUGCCUGUCUUUUGUAGAGGUGUAGGAAGGCUUUAUGCCUGUGGCCACAUAGAACGCAGCCAUGGUGGGGGGAGGUUUGGCUUUGGAGGCAGCUCUGCCAGUGAUCAGCGGAUGAGCAGAGCAGAAAUGAUGGUCAGCUCCACACGGUGUCCUCUGCUCCUGUACCCACAGUCUCAUCAACUCCAUGUCUGUCCCCUGAGGCACUGGUAAGUCCUCUGAUCUAUUAACUUCUUCUAACACAUUAACACUAAUGAGGGUGUGCGAGGACAGAUUCAUUCUGACCUGUGGAGGUAGGUCCCUGCAGGUAUGAAUGGAAAUCUCAGGACCAGAGUUUGCAAACAGUGACCUUUCUCUUGGCUGUUUUGACCUGUUCCCCUUGGAAGGGCUCUGCCAGGCUCUAGCUGUGAAGUUUUUAUCCCUCAGCUUUGGGGAGAGAGUACUCAUUCUCUUUUGGGUCCUUAUCAAGUGUAAAUACUUUAAAUUGCCACCAAAAGCCAUAGCUAGCAAAUCAAUCAAUGGGGCCAAAGAAUUGGGGGAGGGGGAGGGUGCACUGAUGAGAGGGGAGUCCUCAUCUCUCCAGGCAA